GGGAAUAUGGUACUAGUAGAUCACAAUAGGAGAGAAAAUUAAGGGUACAAUGUCUUGUCUUUAAGAUUUUUCGAAAUACUAUAGGUGGCAGAGUUUAGAAUUGAGUAUUUCUGGACAUGGACUAGGUAAUUUAGAUGCAUAUUUGAGACAUUACUAUAGGUUCUUCGCAAUUAAUUAUGAAAGAGAUAGAUAAUUUAAAUGCAAAUUUAGAGGGUUAGUUUAGAUCAAUGUUUUAUAGUGGCAUAUUUGGGAAAUCUAGAUGAUGAGUAGGGGGUUCAUUCAGGUUAUUUCUCAUAGUGACAAAGUUGGAUAAUUUAGAUAUAGAUUUUUUGCCCGAAGAAUUUAGAUAUUGAUUUAGAUGGCUAUUAGUUUAGACUAAUUUUUAUAAUGACACUAGUUGGUAGAUUUUUAAGAUACAAAAUAGAUCCAAUGGCAAUUGUAAUCAAUAAUAAUUAGACGCUAAUGAAUUACUGUUCCUUAUUUCAGGAAAAUUUCUAGGAUGGAUCAUAUGGCUAUUGUAAUCAUUAAUGAUUAGAAUUUACUAAAUUUAUGGCCGGAUGUUUCAGAUUUUGUAUGCAAUAUUGAUUAGAGUCUGGAGUACUAAAAAAUUGAUGGCAGGAUGUUUCAGAUUUUUGGAAAAAUCUUUAGGAUUUUUUCCAGCACAUCUUUUGAGGAUUAAUGUUAAGACUUCAAAAUGAUUCUCUAAUUACUUAUAAUAAGAUGAUUCUUAGAUAUUACUGGUCAUGUAACAGUUUUUAAAAUUUACCUCUUUAGUGCCUCUAUAGAUGUGGAAUUGCAAAAGCUCCCCCAUAAGUCACUUGGAGUUUGACAUGACCUAUCUGUUUUGUUGCAAAGUCC
This 858-nucleotide long non-coding RNA is filed under the name Setaria viridis. RNAcentral describes it as "long non-coding RNA (SVIR_LNC007633)". Lineage: Eukaryota; Viridiplantae; Streptophyta; Magnoliopsida; Poales; Poaceae. The record is from RNAcentral.